Long non-coding RNA from Oncorhynchus keta (chum salmon), 721 nucleotides. RefSeq lists it as uncharacterized. The transcript has 3 exons. Lineage: Eukaryota; Metazoa; Chordata; Actinopteri; Salmoniformes; Salmonidae. The record is from RefSeq and is a predicted model, not a curated record.
UUACUACCUCUUUGCUCUCUCUCAGGUGAGACCAUGGCCAGUAUAUUACCUACCUCUUUGCUCUCUCUCAGGUGAGACCAUGGCCAGAAAAUUACUACCUCUUUGCUCUCUCUCAGGUGAGACCAUGGCCAGUAUAUUACCUACCUCUUUGCUCUCUCUCAGGUGAGACCAUGGCCAGUAUAUUAUCUACCUCUUUGCUCUCUCUCAGGUGAGACCAUGGCCAGUAUAUUAUCUACCUCUUUGCUCUCUCUCAGGUGAGACCAUGGCCAGUAUAUUACCUACCUCUUUGCUCUCUCUCAGGUGAGACCAUGGCCAGUAUAUUACCUACCUCUUUGCUCUCUCUCAGGUGAGACCAUGGCCAGUAUAUUACCUACCUCUUUGCUCUCUCUCAGGUGAGACCAUGGCCAGAAAAUUACUACCUCUUUGCUCUCUCUCAGGUGAGACCAUGGCCAGUAUAUUACCCACCUCCUGUCUCUCUCAGGUGAGACCAUGGCCAGUAUAUUACCCACCUCCUGUCUCUCUCAGACUCGUCCCACUACCAAGCAAGCAAGAGUUUCUCCAGGAACAUCAGUGCAAAGGGCUUGGGCUGGAACAUGCGUUCAAACUGGGUGAAGAUGGCUCGGCGUGCCCCGGACCAUUUCCCUGGGCCGGUGAUACGGUAUUGGUAGGCAGUGACGGGACCCCACAGAAUCCUCUUGAAUAGGGGGUAGUCAGUGAAGAA